This 441-nucleotide ribosomal RNA is filed under the name uncultured bacterium. Its description in RNAcentral is "partial 16S ribosomal RNA". It matches the Rfam family "Bacterial small subunit ribosomal RNA", at positions 338 to 795 of the family's 1533-position model. The record is from RNAcentral.
CCUACGGGUGGCAGCAGUGGGGGAUAUUGCACAAUGGGGGGAACCCUGAUGCAGCGACGCCGCGUGGGUGAAGGAGUGCUUCGGCAUGUAAAGCCCUAUCGGCAGGGAAGAAGCAAGACGGUACCUGACUAAGAAGCCCCGGCUAACUACGUGCCAGCAGCCGCGGUAAUACGUAGGGGGCGAGCGUUAUCCGGAUUCACUGGGUGUAACGGGAGCGUAGACGGCCAUGCAAGCCAGGGGUGAAAGCCCGGGGCCCAACCCCGGGACUGCCCUUGGAACUGUGCGGCUAGAGUGCGGGAGGGGCAGGCGGAAUUCCUGGUGUAGCGGUGAAAUGCGUAGAUAUCAGGAGGAACACCGAUUGCGAAGGCAGCUCACUGGACUGCAACUGACACUGAGGCUCGAAGGUGUGGGUAUCAAACAGGAUUAGAUACCCCUGUAGUC